RNAcentral lists this ribosomal RNA (393 nucleotides) under uncultured bacterium. Its description in RNAcentral is "partial 16S ribosomal RNA". It matches the Rfam family "Bacterial small subunit ribosomal RNA", at positions 523 to 918 of the family's 1533-position model. The record is from RNAcentral.
AUACGGAGGAUGCGAGCGUUAUCCGGAUUUAUUGGGUUUAAAGGGAGCGUAGGUGGGAUAUUAAGUCAGCUGUGAAAGUUUGGGGCUCAACCUUAAAAUUGCAGUUGAUACUGGUUUCCUUGAGUACGGUACAGGUGGGCGGAAUUCGUGGUGUAGCGGUGAAAUGCUUAGAUAUCACGAAGAACUCCGAUCGCGAAGGCAGCUCACCGGGCCGGAACUGACACUGAUGCUCGAAAGUGCGGGUAUCAAACAGGAUUAGAUACCCUGGUAGUCCGCACGGUAAACGAUGAAUACUCGCUGUUUGCGAUACACUGUAAGCGGCCAAGCGAAAGCGUUAAGUAUUCCACCUGGGGAGUACGCCGGCAACGGUGAAACUCAAAGGAAUUGGCGGGG